UACUACUUGUGUGUGUUACUCUUCCAAUUAAUGCUAUGGAAUCAAGAAAGCUUGUUGAGAAGUGCACACCAUGUGGUGACACUCCAAUAUAUUCACCACCUCCAAUAAUAUACAAUUCACCACCACCACCAAUUGUGUAUCCAUCACCACCACCACCAUCUCCGUCACCGCCGCCAAUAGUAUACUAUUCACCACCACCACCUUCACCUAAGAAACCUCCCUCGGCAAAUUGUCCUCCACCACCAUCAUCACCAUCAUC
Molecule: long non-coding RNA, 259 nt
Filed under: Medicago truncatula (barrel medic)
Lineage: Eukaryota; Viridiplantae; Streptophyta; Magnoliopsida; Fabales; Fabaceae
Description: long non-coding RNA (MTRU_LNC000584)
Source: RNAcentral